This 548-nucleotide ribosomal RNA is filed under the name uncultured bacterium. RNAcentral's name for it is "bacterial LSU rRNA". It matches the Rfam family "Bacterial large subunit ribosomal RNA", at positions 634 to 1180 of the family's 2925-position model. The record is from RNAcentral.
UUCGUGGCAAGGUUAAGUCGACAGACGAAGCCACAUGGAAACCGAGUCUGAACAGGGCGUUCAGUCGCGGGGCGUAGACCCGAAACCGAGUGAUCUAUCCAUGGCCAGGCUGAAGCGCGGGUAACACCGCGUGGAGGGCCGGACCCACCAUAGUUGAAAAUAUGGGGGAUGAGCUGUGGAUGGGGGUGAAAGGCCAAUCAAACUCGGAGAUAGCUGGUUCUCCCCGAAACAUAUUUAGGUAUGGCCUUAGGUCAUGCGUCGCGGGGGUAAAGCACUGGAUGGGGCUAGGGGUCACACCAGAUUACCAAACCCAACCAAACUCUGAAUACCGACGACGUCCUAUCCUAGGAGUCAGCCUGAGGGUGAUAACGUCCUCAGACAAAAGGGAAAGAACCCUGACCGACAGCUAAGGUCCCCAAGUUAUGGCUAAGUGGUGAAGGAUGUGGGAGCACAUUGACAACCAGGAGGUUGGCUUAGAAGCAGCCAUCCUUAAAAGAAAGCGUAAUAGCUCACUGGUCAAGUGAACCUGCGCCGAAAAUAUAACGGGG